Corylus avellana is the source of this 960-nucleotide non-coding RNA. NCBI's taxonomy places the organism in Eukaryota, Viridiplantae, Streptophyta, Magnoliopsida, Fagales, Betulaceae. The record is from RefSeq and is a predicted model, not a curated record.
GCUUGGUGAUUUAGAAGUUUUGAAUUUCUCCUAAAUUUUUUAUCUAGGAAAUCAAAGUACCGCGCGGACUUAAAGAACAUUUCUCGAGUGAUUCAGUAGUUCAUUAGGGCGGAGCGUGGGCUGGGGCGAUCGAAAUCCGUUAAAGAUCAAAACAACAGCCCAACUGAGUCUUCAUCGUCUCCCUCUCGCUCUCUGUAUUCCAUCUCCUGCUCAGACCAAACCGAAAACUCUCUCUCUCUCUCUCUUUUCGGCUUUAAUUCUUCCCAAUGCCAAAAAAGAGUUCUUCCAGAAAAGCUACUCAGACGAAAGAAAAUAAUGUUGAAGAAGAAAAACCUUCUUCAGCACAAAAAAAGGCUAGCAGUGAGAUUGAUGAAAUAUUUUCAGGAAAAAAGAGGAAGAACUCUGAACCAGAAAAGACUGAGAAGCCAAAUGAAGAGGCAACUGGAAAUCCUAAGAAAAUGAAGAAAAAGAAGAAGGAUAAAAGGUCUAAUGAUGAUGGGUUUGUGGAUCCACCUUCUCGUUCUAGAAAGAGGAUAAAGGAUGGGCUUGCUAUCUACACAGAAGAGGAGUUGGGUAUCAAUAAGGCAGAUGCCGGAGGUACCCCGCUUUGUCCCUUUGAUUGUUCUUGUUGUUUUUGAGGACAGGUGGCUGAAGUUGCUUCCUUUGGUCCAUUGAAUCUCUAGGAUUUUCCUGUAGUCUUGUUUUUAUUCAAGGAUUAUGGAGCAAAGUUUUUUUUUUUUUUUGGUUAUUGUCUUCAUGUACACUAGAACUAAAGUAAGUUAAUUAUGAUCUUACCCAAUCAGUCUUUGCUUAUAAUUAACAUCUUUAUAUCACAGAGUCGUGUAGUCAAGCUAAUCCUCUUACACAUUGGAGUGAAACUUUAUGCGAGUACACUUUUGCAAUCCCUGAAUUCGUGAUGGUAAUACGGAUUUCGAAAUAUAUUUUAAUAUUAGUUCAUCA